Oxyura jamaicensis (ruddy duck) is the source of this 353-nucleotide long non-coding RNA. RefSeq lists it as uncharacterized. Lineage: Eukaryota; Metazoa; Chordata; Aves; Anseriformes; Anatidae. The transcript is spliced from 3 exons. The record is from RefSeq and is a predicted model, not a curated record.
ACUCUCCCCUCUCCCUCUCCAUAGCAGCAGCCAGGCUGGUCUGGGGCCAGGGAGCACCACUGACAUCGGGAGGGGACCCCAUGCCUUCACCCACUGUCCCCAUACUCACCCAUGGGCUUCCCCUGUGGGCAGCUACUUCCUUGAGCGGCUCCAACCUGUCAGAAAGUGUGAAAAUGUCUUCGGUUCACAUCUGAGGAAAAGAUGCACAGCUGAAUCAAGGAAUGGCUGCGAAACAGGCCUAGAUUUGCAAAUGUACUUGGGCAUCUCCCACCACUGAUACUGUGAAACUAGACUGAAAGCCUGGAUCCCACAGAUCUGAACUUGCAACAUGGGAUGAAACCAUAAUGUGAUCA